CCUCCAACAUCUGCCACAUUGCCCCCCUAUCCACCCUGUCAUAUGCCUUUUCCAAAUCCAUAAAUGCCACAAAGACCUCUUUAGCCUUAUCUAAAUACUGUUCACUUAUAUGUUUCACUGUAAACACCUGGUCAACACACCCCCUACCUUUCCUAAAGCCUCCUUGUUCAUCUGCUAUCCUAUUCUCCGUCUUACCCUUUACACAAAGGAACUAUGCAUGCUCUCUGCCAAUCCCUAGGUACCUUACCCUCUUCCAUACAUUUAUUAAAUAAUUGCACCAACCACUCCAAAACUAUAUCCCCACCUGCUUUUAACAUUUCUAUCUUUAUCCCAUCAAUCCCGGCUGCCUUACCCCCUUUCAUUUUACCUACUGCCUCAAGAACUUUCCCGACACUCACAACUGGCUCUUCCUCACUGCUACAAGAUGUUAUUCCUCCUUGCCCUAUACAUGAAAUCACAGCUUCCCUAUCUUCAUCAACAUUUAACAAUUCCUGAAAAUAUUCCCUCCAUCUUCCCAAUACCUCUAACUCUCCAUUUAAUAACUCUCCUCUCCUAUUUUUAACUGACAAAUCCAUUUGUUCUCUAGGCUUCCUUAACUUGUUAAUCUCACUCCAAAACUAUUUCUUAUUUUCAACAAACUUUGUUGAUAACAUCUCACCCACUCUCUCAUUUGCUCUCUUUUUACAUUGCUUCACCACUCUCUUAAUCUCUCUCUUUUUCUCCAUAUACUCUUCCCUCCUUGCAUCACUUCUACUUUGUAAAAACUUCUCAUAUGCUAACUUUUUCUCCCUUACUACUCUCUUUACAUCAUCAUUCCACCAAUCGCUCCUCUUCCCUCCUGCACCCACUUUCCUGUAACCACAAACUUCUGCUGAACACUCUAACAUUACAUUUUUAAACCUACCCCAUACCUCUUCGACCCCAUUGCCUAUGCUCUCAUUAGCCCAUCUAUCCUCCAAUAGCUGUUUAUAUCUUACCCUAACUGCCUCCUCUUUUAGUUUAUAAACCUUCACCUCUCUCUUCCCUGAUGCUUCUAUUCUCCUUGUAUCCCAUCUACCUUUUACCCUCAGUGUAGCUACAACUAGAAAGUGAUCUGAUAUAUCUGUGGCCCCUCUAUAAACAUGUACAUCCUGAAUAAAUAACAAAAAGGCACAAUACCGUGACUGGAACGAUACACAAAUAACCCGCACAUAAAAGAGAGAAGCUUACGACGACGUUUCGGUCCGACUUGGACAGUCUUUUAUCUACCAAUACAUAAUCCAACAAACUACUGUCAUUUCGCCCUACAUCAUAUCUUGUAUACUUAUUUAUCCUCUUUUUCUUAAAAUAUGUAUUACCUAUAACUAAACCCCUUUCUAUACAAAGUUCAAUCAAAGAGCUCCCAUUAUCAUUUACACCUGGCACCCCAAACUUACCUACCACACCCUCUCUAAAAGUUUCUCCUACUUUAGCAUUCAGGUCCCCUACCACAAUUACUCUCUCACUUGGUUCAAAGGCUCCUAUACAUUCACUUAACAUCUCCCAAAAUCUCUCUCUCUCCUCUACAUUCCUCUCUUCUCCAGGUGCAUACACACUUAUUAUGACCCACUUUUUGCAUCCAACCUUUACUUUAAUCCACAUAAUUCUUGAAUUUACACAUUCAUAUUCUCUUUUCUCCUUCCAUAACUGAUCCUUCAAUAUUACUGCUACCCCUUCCUUUGCUCUAACUCUCUCAGAUACUCCAGAUUUAAUCCCAUUUAUUUCCCCCCACCGAAACUCCCCUACCCCCUUCAGCUUUGCUUCGCUUAGGGCCAGGACAUCCAACUUCUUUUCAUUCAUAACAUCAGCAAUCAUCUGUUUCUUGUCAUCCGCACUACAUCCACGCACAUUCAAGCAUCCCAAUUUUAUUAAGUUUUUCUUCUUCUCUUUUUUAGUAAAUGUCUACAGGGGUUACUAGCCCAUUGCUCCCGGCAUUUUAGUCGCCUCAUACGACACGCAUGGCUUACGGAGGAAAAAUUCUUUUCCACUUCCCCAUGGACAAUAGAAGAAAUAAAGAAGAACAAGAGCUAUUUAGAAAAAGGAGAAAAACCUAGAUGUAUGUAUAUAUAUAUGCAUGUGCGUGUCUGUGAAGUGUUUACCUGGAGUUUACCUGGAGAGAGUUCCGGGGGUCAACGUCCCUGUGGCCCGGUCUGUGACCAGAGUGACCAAAGUGUAAGCAGGAGUAGCAAGAUAUCCCUGUUAUCUAGCGUGUUUAUGAGACAGAAAAAGAAACCAGCAAUCCUACCAUCAUGCAAAACAGUUACAGGUUUCUGUUUCACAGUCAUCUGGCAGGACUGUAGUACUUCCCUGGGUGGUUGCUGUCUACCAACUUACUACCUAUAUAUUAUAUUUUUGUAAUAACAAUAAAUAAUACCAGUAUAAACACUAACAUAAUAAUAAUACAUAAUAUAAAAUCAAAUACUGGUCACCAUGGCAGGAUGACCCAAAAUAGAAAAUUAAUAACAAAAAUAAGAAAUGAAAAGAUUAGUUAUUUUUUCAAAAAAUGCCACAUUUAUGUUUAACAUAUCCACAUGCUACAUUCAAAGUGAAGAUCCUGAACCAUGUCAGAGGCACCAUGCAAAAGGUAAUAAAAGGCCCUAAAAUCUUUUAAAAUGGAAUCUUAAUGGGAUGAAUAUGGAGUUCCACCAAAGUAGAAUUCCAUAGUCAUCAAAAAUUGCAAAUAAAUAUUAUCUUGGGUUUUUAGUAUUCUGUGGAGAGGGAGCUGGUCAUCCCAGUCAUUAAAAACCACUGAUAUUGUCCCACUUCUUAGAGGUGGCAGUAAAGCAAUUGCAAAAAACCUACAGACCAAUAGUACUAACUUCACUUAAUAUGAAAAUAAUUAAUGGGUCCUGAAAAGCAAGAGUGACAAUCACAUGAAACUGUGACAAUUGUUCAAUCCAGGGCAGCAUGGGUUCAGAGCAGGUCGCUCCUGCCUUUCACAACUGCUGGACCAUUAUGAUAUGAUCUUGGAUGCACCAGAAGACAAGCUAAAUGCUGAUGUUGUGUACACUGAUUUCACAAAAGCCUUCGUUAUGUGCAACUAUGGUGUGGUAGUGCACAAAAUACAUGCAAAAUGAAUAGCUGCUAUAAUGGGUAGAUGAAUAUUUAACUUCUUUACAAACAGAACCCAAAGAGUAGCGAUAUAAAGAGUGAAGUCAGAGGCUGCCACAGUGAAAAGUUCUGUUCCUCGGGUCACAGUACUUGCCCCACUAUUUCUCAUUCUUAUAUCUGACAUUAACGAGGACAUCAAGAACAUCUUUUGCUGAUGGCACCAGAAUCUCGAUGAAGGUGUUAGUGGCAUCCAUCAAAGAGAAUGAAUCUUCAAGAGGAGUCCUGCUCUCACAGCCCACUAUGAGUGUCCCUCACGUACAACUACGUCACUGAUGCCAGAGACCCCUUGAGCAGUUCUACAUCAUGAGCUCAGCUUACUCAGAAAGCUUAUGUAAGGACCUUUAAAACAGCUGACAACUUGGUCUGCCCAGUGCACCAGCCCCAGCUGCCACGUCACUCCUAGAGAGAUAAUCAAAUACAGAAGCUGAAUCACAGCUUUACAGAAACUUUGUUUCAAGAAUGUUAUUAAAGUCACUUUUUGUCUAUGCCAUGGAAUAUAUACAGUAAAUGUUUUUGCCCUACCUUUCACUGUUUAAAUGCAAUUAACUGCCAUAAGACAUCAUUGUGUGCAUAAUAUAUCUAAUUAGUUUAUAAUGAAAAGACAUUAGUGAUGAAUAAAUAUUUUAUAAUAUAAAUAUACCUAACUCAAAUAACAAACAUUAUAUAGUACAAUAUAGUCGAACUACCAAAUUCAUGAACUUAUGAUUCACAAGAUCUGAUUAUGUAAAGUGUUUAAUGAUAGGUAUUGUAUGAAUAGCUUCAAUUAUAUGAAGUUUUUGUAGGGGUGCCCAUUUUAUUUGCAAGGAUAGGAGGGGGGCUAGAAUAGGAGCUUCCUGAAACAACUGACUACAGGAUUUUGCUCGAAAUGUUUUCAGUGCAUAUCCUAUGCCCAAAUCACUUUUCCUUCUGGGCAUUAUUACAAAUGUCAAUAUUAAUUAAAUUAUAGUGACAUUUACACAAAAUAAGCCUAAAUAUGAAACAAUUUAUCAUACAGACAGAAUUUGGUAUCGUUUGUGGAGUACAAAUUUAUGAGCCCUUUAGGAAUGUAGCCCCCAAGAAUUUGGGGCUCAACUUUAUUUUUUAAUAUAUGAAAUUGUGAAUAAAAAACUAAUGUACUACAGGAUGAGAAGAAACUAAAAUUAAUGUAAGA
Molecule: non-coding RNA, 4279 nt
Organism: Cherax quadricarinatus
Lineage: Eukaryota; Metazoa; Arthropoda; Malacostraca; Decapoda; Parastacidae
Source: RefSeq, a predicted model, not a curated record